UAGAGUUAAACGCUCAGGAGCUCUCUGCU
Molecule: non-coding RNA, 29 nt
Filed under: Rattus norvegicus (Norway rat)
Lineage: Eukaryota; Metazoa; Chordata; Mammalia; Rodentia; Muridae
Source: RNAcentral